RNAcentral lists this transfer RNA (86 nucleotides) under Syntrophaceae bacterium. RNAcentral's name for it is "tRNA-Leu". It matches the Rfam family "tRNA". Rfam says of the family: Transfer RNA (tRNA) molecules are approximately 80 nucleotides in length. Lineage: Bacteria; Pseudomonadati; Thermodesulfobacteriota; Syntrophia; Syntrophales; Syntrophaceae. RNAcentral also lists the same sequence under 2 other names. The record is from RNAcentral.
GCCGAAGUGGUGGAAUUGGUAGACACGCUAUCUUGAGGGGGUAGUAGGCCACGCCUGUGCGAGUUCGAGUCUCGCCUUCGGCACCA